RNAcentral lists this long non-coding RNA (214 nucleotides) under Sorghum bicolor (sorghum). RNAcentral's name for it is "long non-coding RNA (SBIC_LNC003803)". Lineage: Eukaryota; Viridiplantae; Streptophyta; Magnoliopsida; Poales; Poaceae. The record is from RNAcentral.
GGAGCGUAUGGACGCAGUCCGAAGGGUGAUUAUGGACUGGAUGAAGAGCCUAAUGCAAUUCCCAUUUCUGAUGUUAUGGAGAUCUAGUCUCCUCUAGUUGGAUUAGACUUGUUAUCUUGGGUAUUCUUUCUUGUGGAACCUGUUUUCAGGCUUGUAUCGUACUGUUAUGCUUUCUAAAAAGCAGAGGUCAAUCCUCUUUUUAAAAAAAACAAAU